UUCCGGUUGAUCCCGCCGGACCCGACUGCUAUUUGGGUGAGGAUAAGCCAUGCGAGUUGAAUGGGAUACCUAAAUUUCCCAUGGCAAACUGCUCAGUAACACAUGAUCAACUUACCCUAUAGAGAAAAAUAACCUCGGGAAACUGAGGAUAAUAUUUCAUAGUUGAAUAGGCUUGGAAAAGUUUUUCAAUUAAAGGGAUAAAAAAAAUGGUUUUUAUCUGCUAUAGGAUAGGAUCGUGGACGAUUAUGGUUGUUGGUGAGGUAACGGCUCACCAAGCCGAUAAUCGAUAGGGGCCGUGAGAGCGGGAGCCCCGAGAUGGGUACUGAGACAACGACCCAGGCCUUACGAGGCGCAGCAGGCGCGGAACCUCCGCAAUACACGAAAGUGUGACGGGGUUACCCAAAGUGUUCAAUUCUGAACUGUGGUAGGUGAGUAAUGUUCCCUACUAGAAAGGAGAGGGCAAGGCUGGUGCCAGCCGCCGCGGUAAAACCAGCUCUUCAAGUGGUCGGGAUAAUUAUUGGGCUUAAAGUGUCCGUAGCCGGUUUAGUAAGUUCCUGGUAAAAUCGGGUAGCUUAACUAUCUGUAUGCUAGGAAUACUGCUAUACUAGAGGACGGGAGAGGUCUGAGGUACUACAGGGGUAGGGGUGAAAUCUUAUAAUCCUUGUAGGACCACCAGUGGCGAAGGCGUCAGACUGGAACGUGCCUGACGGUGAGGGACGAAAGCCAGGGGAGCGAACCGGAUUAGAUACCCGGGUAGUCCUGGCCGUAAACGAUGCAUACUAUGUGAUGGCCCGGCCAUGAGCCGUGUCAAUGCCGUAUGGAAACCGUUAAGUGUGCCGCCUGGGAAGUACGGUCGCAAGGCUAGAACUUACAGGAAUCGGCGGGGGGAGCAGCACAGGGGUGAAGCCUGCGGUUCAGUUGAGUCACGCGGG
RNAcentral lists this ribosomal RNA (932 nucleotides) under uncultured archaeon. RNAcentral describes it as "bacterial SSU rRNA". It matches the Rfam family "Archaeal small subunit ribosomal RNA", at positions 1 to 1180 of the family's 1478-position model. The record is from RNAcentral.